UGGGGCGGGGCGGGAUCGAGCAUAUGAAAGGCGAGAUUGUUGACAGAAGAGAGUGAGCACACGGCGCGGCGGCUAGCCAUCGGCGGGAUGCCUGCCCCCGCCGCGUGCUCGCUCCUCUUUCUGUCAGCAUCUCUCAUCACUCCCUCCCGCAUCCCCCGCCCCGA
RNAcentral lists this microRNA precursor (164 nucleotides) under Oryza sativa Indica Group (long-grained rice). Its description in RNAcentral is "osa-MIR156j". Lineage: Eukaryota; Viridiplantae; Streptophyta; Magnoliopsida; Poales; Poaceae. The record is from RNAcentral. RNAcentral also lists the same sequence under 1 other name.